GUGCUCGCUUUGGCAGCACAUAUACUAAAAUUGGAACGAUACAGAGAAGAUUAGCAUGGCCCCUGGGCAAGGAUGACACGCAAAUUCGUGAAGCAUUCCAUAUUUAA
RNAcentral lists this small nuclear RNA (107 nucleotides) under Urocitellus parryii (Arctic ground squirrel). Lineage: Eukaryota; Metazoa; Chordata; Mammalia; Rodentia; Sciuridae. The record is from RNAcentral.